Molecule: ribosomal RNA, 440 nt
Filed under: uncultured bacterium
Lineage: Bacteria
Description: partial 16S ribosomal RNA
Rfam family: Bacterial small subunit ribosomal RNA
Source: RNAcentral
CCUACGGGUGGCAGCAGUGGGGAAUAUUGCACAAUGGGGGAAACCCUGAUGCAGCGACGCCGCGUGAGUGAAGAAGUAAUUCGUUACGUAAAGCUCUAUCAGCAGGGAAGAAAAUGACGGUACCUGAGUAAGAAGCCCCGGCUAACUACUUGCCAGCAGCCGCGGUAAUACGUAGGGGGCAAGCGUUAUCCGGAUUUACUGGGGGUAAAGGGUGCGUAAACGGUGCGCCAAGUCUGGAGUGAAAUGCCGGAGCUUAAAUGCGGAACGGCGUUGGAAACUGGCGAACUAGAGUGCGGGAGGGGUAAGCGGAAUGCCUAGUGUAGCGGUGAAAUGCGUAGAUAUUAGGAGGAACACCGAUGGCGAAGGCAGCUUACUGGAGCGUAACUGACGUUGAGGCUCGAAAGCGUGGGGAGCAAACAGGAUUAGAUACCCGGGUAGUC